GUGCCAGCAGCCGCGGUAAUACGUAGGUGGCGAGCGUUGUCCGGAUUUAUUGGGCGUAAAGCGCGCGCAGGCGGUUCGUUAAGUCCCGUGUGAAAGCUCCCGGCUCAACUGGGAGAGGUCGCGGGAGACUGGCGGACUGGAGGCAGGCAGAGGCCGGUGGAAUUCCCGGUGUAGUGGUGAAAUGCGUAGAGAUCGGGAGGAACACCUGUGGCGAAGGCGGCCGGCUGGGCCUGUCCUGACGCUGAGGCGCGAAAGCGUGGGGAGCGAACCGGAUUAGAAACCCUCGUAGUCC
This 292-nucleotide ribosomal RNA is filed under the name uncultured bacterium. RNAcentral's name for it is "partial 16S ribosomal RNA". It matches the Rfam family "Bacterial small subunit ribosomal RNA", at positions 505 to 796 of the family's 1533-position model. The record is from RNAcentral.